AUUGAACGCUGGCGGCAUGCCUUACACAUGCAAGUCGAACGGCAGCACGGGUGCUUGCACCUGGUGGCGAGUGGCGAACGGGUGAGUAAUACAUCGGAACAUGUCCUGUAGUGGGGGAUAGCCCGGCGAAAGCCGGAUUAAUACCGCAUACGAUCUACGGCUGAAAGCGGGGGACCUUCGGGCCUCGCGCUAUAGGGUUGGCCGAUAGCUGAUUAGCUAGUUGGUGGGGUAAAGGCCUACCAAGGCGACGAUCAGUAGCUGGUCGGAGAGGACGACCAGCCACACUGGGACUGAGACACGGCCCAGACUCCUACGGGAGGCAGCAGUGGGGAAUUUUGGACAAAGGGCGAAAGCCUGAUCCAGCAAUGCCGCGUGUGUGAAGAAGGCCUUCGGGUUGUAAAGCACUUUUGUCCGGAAAGAAACCCUUGGCUCUAAUACAGUCGGGGGAUGACGGUACCGGAAGAAUAAGCACCGGCUAACUACGUG
RNAcentral lists this ribosomal RNA (486 nucleotides) under uncultured bacterium. Its description in RNAcentral is "partial 16S ribosomal RNA". It matches the Rfam family "Bacterial small subunit ribosomal RNA", at positions 30 to 507 of the family's 1533-position model. The record is from RNAcentral.